AACUCCUUGUGGCACUUUUUGGUUUAGGAGAACCCAAGUGCGGUAAUAAAAAAACAGAAAUUGGUCAAAUUUGGCAAACCCAAUUAAACAGUAUUUCAAUUCCAACUCUUUCUCUCUUCAAUCUCGAAUUUAAUCUUCACCGGAUUGUCUAUGGUGCAAACACAAGUACCUGAGAAGUGAAAUUGCUCCAGAUUUUGCAGGUCGUGCUUUCCGAGCAAUCAUGAACUGGGUACAACGCAAGAUAUAUCUCUACAAUGUUACUUUUGGACUCUAUAUGUUAGAUUGGUGGGAGCGUUACCUAUUCAAUACGCUAAUCGUUGUCUUAAUGUGGUUUAUUUUCUACAAUGGGUCACGACAACUAUCUGAAUUAUGGAAGAGUUCCUUUGGUAAUGAUCGUUCUCAAUCAACAAUGAAAAGGUAUCUAUGGGGAGGUGCAUAGAUAAUUAGCUAACUCAACUUACAACAGAAAAGAAGUAAAGCCGAAGUUGAUAUCGGACAAACUUCCAAUCUGGUGGAAAUUACUGGUAGAUGUUACUCAACGUGGUUUUCACAACUAUCAUGUUGUUGUAGUUUCUCUAUUUAAAAGAAGGAUCAUUGAUCAAUCCGUGGACUAUGGACCAUGGUACACAGUGAGCAUGGUGCACCAAAAAAACAUAUGUGCAUAAGCAAAAGAAUAUGACACUACGACAAAAGAACAUGCGUUAUAAUAUUUCAUUUUUUUGUUAUAAAAAAUAAUAUAUUAUUUCACUAUUUAUUAAAAAUAUAAAUAAAAAAUAUAUCCAUGUUCUUUUCACGUAAACAGAUGUUCUUUUAAUUAUACACUAGUGUUCUUAAGGUGCACUAUGCUCACUGUGCACCAUGGUCCACCUUCUAAAUUGCGGGACUCUAGCUCUUCUUGAUUCAUGUUCAAACUUGAUCCCAUUCAUUUGCGAGAUAAGAUGAUAGUGUUCAUCCAUCCCUUUUUCCAAAGAAUUUGCAGCCCUAUGAGUCUACGACUAUGUGUAUUGCUUUUAGUUCCCCCAUCAACAAUUCAACACAGACCUUACCUUGUAUUUCUAUUUAAAGUUUGGUCUUUGUUUCUUCCUCA
Spinacia oleracea (spinach) is the source of this 1087-nucleotide RNA transcript. RefSeq lists it as uncharacterized. The transcript has 5 exons. The record is from RefSeq and is a predicted model, not a curated record. Lineage: Eukaryota; Viridiplantae; Streptophyta; Magnoliopsida; Caryophyllales; Amaranthaceae.